AUGGCGUCACGCUUGUUGAGAAGAGGUGUCGAUCAUCUGAAGAGUAAAGAAUUUAGGGAGUAUUUAUGCAGCACGCAUUUUUGGGGACCUGUUGCAAAUUGGGGAAUUCCACUUGCUGCAAUUGCGGAUUUCAAAAAAGAUCCAACAUUUAUUAGCGGAAAGAUGACUUUAGCAUUAUGUAUAUAUUCAUUACUUUUUAUGAGAUUUGCUUGGAAAGUACAGCCUCGAAAUCUGUUAUUAUUUGCCUGUCAUUUUACAAAUGAAUCUGCACAAAUUAUUCAAGGCACAAGACUGAUAAAACAUGAAUUCUCAUCUGAUAAACAGAAAGUACAACUUCAAAAUUAAUUAAAUUAUUAAGUUAGAUGAUGAUGAUUUGUUUAGUUAAAUUAAUUUAGAUGAUUCGUGUUUGAUUGAUAUUGAGAAAUCAAUCAUAAAGUUAUCAAUAAUUAUUAGGUUUUCAAUAACUCCACAUUUGAAAAUUAAAGAAAGCAAAUUGAAUCUGAAACAGAAUGAGACUUAGGUAUAAAGUGAUGGGACAUAAAGAAAUUUUGUACUGGAUAAGUUAUGAGUAAAAAUACUGCAAGAAAGUUAUUAACGUAUUGAAUCAAGACUAUCGGCAGCAAUAAGUAAACUAUCAUCUACCGGAAACUCAGCUUUAAUGAAAUAUUUUUUGGACAGUAUCAGGAAAAUCUUUUUCUUUGUCUGGUGUAAGUAUUUUUCACAAAAAUAUUAACUAUUAUUAAACAGUAAAAUAUUAUAAUUUUCUGGCAACAUUUGUGUGUAACUCUCAGAUCUGUGAACUAACAGAUUAUUGGAUUUUUCAAGAUUCAUUAUCUUACAUAGAUAUUAAAUGAAAUCCAUAAAAAAUUUGUAUGUAAGAUAAUUUGUAUUACAACAUUUAAUAUUAAUUAAAUUAUUAAUUUUCAGUAAUAAUAAAUUAUAUUGACUUUGAACUACAUGAUACUAGAUAGAGAUCAGAACAAAGGCAGAAAAUACACAGGGUGUCCAGAAAGGAUGAGUGCAGUUUAAACAUGUUCAAAGAAAGUUUUGUUUUUAUUUUUAAUCUACAGUUAUUGGAAAAUUAUUUACUGAAAAUUAUGUUAUCUAAGUGGCGUCCAUUACGCUCCUGGCACUCUUCUAAUCUUGAGCAAAGAUUUCUCGGUACACGUUGACACAAAGCCUGAGAUGCCUAUGCUCAUUUCUGCUGUGAUAUUCUGCUUUAAUUGAGUUAAUGUCCUCGGCUUAUUUUCGUACAUCCUCUCUCUAAGAAAUCCCCAUAAGAAAUAGUCCAGAGGACUCAGGUCUGGACUGCGUGAUGGCCAGUUAACAUCACCUCUUCCCGAAAUCAGCUUAUUGGGGAAUAAUUCCUUUACUGCUUCAAUUGAUUCAUGGCUUCAAUACAAGAACAUGGUUUCAACAGGAUGGCAUCACUUGUGACACAUGAAAUGAAUCAAUUAUUCAACUGUCAGCAUUAAAUCCAAAACUACAAUUAUAGGUUUAAUUUUUUUUCAUUCUCUUUCUAAUGACAUAAAAUACUCCUAGAAUUACAAAAAUUCUUUUUUAAUGUGUAUUUUAUUAUUGUUUGAUUCAAAAACGCAAAAAUAAACAUAUUAAAUUUAAGAAACUCGCUGUAAAUUAUCUCAAGGUACUGUACAGUACAUCGAUUAAGAUCGGCAUCUCUUCUUGAUUUUUAAGUCAGUCAAAUUACAAUGUUAUUUUAUUGUACUCUGAAGAAUGUUUUUUUUUUAACAUCUAACAAAACUAGUUGUUAAUUAAAUCUGAUUAAUUUUAUAUUUUAGUUCAGUUUAAUCGGCAUGCCAGUAACCCCAGAGUGUCUAGCGUGCUGAUCUGUCCCGUUUUUAUGCAGCAUGCCGAUCAUUCUGUGAAAAUACGGUAUUCUUCAUUAAAUAAUAGGUGGCAGAUAUUAAAAAGCAUCUCCUUUCGAUGCCAAAACCUCUCAGAAACACUGGGAUUGUAGAUUAGAUACCGUAAAAGUGAUUCGUUUGCCGGUUAGCUGGAGUUAGUAAAGCUUGAAGAGGAAGUUUCUACAAUAGAGUCCCAAAUUCGAGGUUUUCCUAAAUCCAGUCCGUUAAAUUAACAUUUAUUUAUUAUUAUUAUUUUUUUAAAUCGCAGAAUCUCUUAAUUAAAUUUAAUUAAAAGUGUUUUGCUAAAGCCGUUUGCAUAUUUAUUCGAUUUAGAUGGUAUACAGUCGACCCCCCUAUAACGCGGGUUCAUAUAAUGCGGAUUCGUAUAUCGCGGCGAAAAAAUUGCGACCGUAUUCGUAUAAAGGCGGUAAAAGA
This 2300-nucleotide unclassified non-coding RNA is filed under the name Centruroides sculpturatus (bark scorpion). RNAcentral's name for it is "mitochondrial pyruvate carrier 1-like, transcript variant X2". The record is from RNAcentral. Lineage: Eukaryota; Metazoa; Arthropoda; Arachnida; Scorpiones; Buthidae.